This 152-nucleotide small RNA is filed under the name Parcubacteria bacterium RAAC4_OD1_1. The record is from RNAcentral. Lineage: Bacteria; Candidatus Parcubacteria. RNAcentral also lists the same sequence under 1 other name.
UUUUACAAUUUAAUAUUUAUUGUGUUUGGAAGUGAGGUUUGAUCCCUCCACUGUGCCGCAACGGUAAUAUCCUGACUUAUGUCUGGGUGAGUCCGAUCUUAACACAAUAAUUGUUUUCCCGAGCAGGAUAAAGAAUUUAUUUUUCUUUGAAU